RNAcentral lists this long non-coding RNA (1539 nucleotides) under Marmota monax (woodchuck). Lineage: Eukaryota; Metazoa; Chordata; Mammalia; Rodentia; Sciuridae. The record is from RNAcentral.
AUGUGGUCCAAUGCUAUCUAUUAUUUAUGUGACAUUGUAGCUUUGUUAUCAAAUCUAGUAGCAUAAAAAUUAUAAAAGAUUAUAGAACAUACAGUUCAUAGAGUACAAAAUAUACAUGGCCUGUAAUGAUCAAUUUUUUUUUACUUCACUCCUUUCCCAUCAUAUUUGCAACAGUCAAAUGUCUCCAGAAUAUCUAUUAUUUAUAAAUAUAGUGUGAAUUAUGUGCUCUCCAUGAAAGUGUAAAAUUUUAAUGUGUUUUAACAGCAUUCUAAAUGUAAUGUUUGUGUAUUUUGACUUAUAUUACACUUGUGGAGCUUAUGUAAAUGCUACCACUUAUUAAUAACUUCAUUGUUUUUAAUAAAAGUUGCAAUCACGGUAAAUGACUUCAACAGAAGACUAAUCCUAUAAAUUAUGCUGAUGUACAAUGUAAUAUUAUGAGGUAGUUGAAGUAUUUUAGUAAAUCAAUGUUGAUAAAUAAAAGUCAUUAAGACCUUCUCAUGUGGGUAAAGUAAAAUUGUAGAGAAGAAGGUUUUGAUGAUAUAAUUUCUAUUACAUAUUCUAAGUCAUAUUCUAAGUCUAAAACUUUAUAUUAUUGUAAGUACUGUAUAUGUCUACAUUCAAAUACAUUGAAAAUUAUCUAGAAAGAACUGGUACUUAUGUUUUAAAAAUAAUUUUUAUUUUUCAACUGAUCUUUAUUUUAUUUAUUUAUAUGCAGUGCUGAGAAUCAAACCCAGUGCCUCACACAUGCUAGGCAAUCACUGGAUCACUGAGCCAGAACCCCAGCCUAUGUUUUAAUCUUGGACAUAGAGGAGGACCAAGGAAUGUUAAAAGUUUGGUGGCAAUAGGACUUUUUUUUCCUUUUCCACAGCAAUAGGACUUUUAUAUAUAUUAUUUAGGUUAUACAUAGCUUGACUGCACUCAUUUUUUAUUUGUUUAAAUAAGUAUAUAUUUUUUUAAAGAACAUAAGAAUGUGUAAAAUGGUCAUGGGCAAAUAUUGGGGCUGAUUGAUCAAUGAUGUAAAGCAAGAACCACAAAAGUGAAACAUGGCAGCUAUUUUCUGCUAAAAAUAUGCUUAGGGUGGUAGCAACCAAUGAUCCACCUAAAAGAUAAAUUUUCAUUUUGCAGUCAAAUAUAAUAUCAGAUAUCAAGAAAGAUUCAAGUUGUUAGCAUUCUGUGAUUUUCAUUGAAUCAAAAUCUUUAUCAAGCUCUUUUUCAAGAGCUCUUCUAAAACUUUGCUUCUCAUAUAACUUGUUUAAAAGGGAAAGUGGGGUGUUUCUUGCUUGAAUGAUAUAUCUGUCCUGUAUGGUAAUUGCAUUUGUUAUUACAAAUUAAUAAAUUGUACUUCUGCAUUGUUUAAAAAUAUUUCAGUUGUAGGAUGUAAUAAGUAUGAUUUCACUUCCUGAAUUUGGAUGAAUUCUAGGACAUAUGUAAGAUCAGGUUGUAGACUUUUCAGAUUGAAGCCUGGGCCAUGUGAACUCAUCAAAGCAGAUAACACCCAUGAUAUUGUCUUGCAGUAACCAACCUGUGCUUUCUUUUGUU